This 253-nucleotide ribosomal RNA is filed under the name uncultured bacterium. Its description in RNAcentral is "partial 16S ribosomal RNA". It matches the Rfam family "Bacterial small subunit ribosomal RNA", at positions 524 to 776 of the family's 1533-position model. The record is from RNAcentral.
UACGUAGGGGGCAAGCGUUGUCCGGAAUUAUUGGGCGUAAAGAGCUCGUAGGCGGUCCUUUAAGUCGGAAGUGAAAUCUCAGGGCUCAACCCUGAAAUUGCUUUCGAUACUGGCGGACUUGAGGCAGGUAGGGGAGAGCGGAAUUCCUGGUGUAGCGGUGAAAUGCGCAGAUAUCAGGAGGAACACCGGUGGCGAAGGCGGUCCUCUGGGCAUUCCCUGACGCUGAGGAGCGAAAGUGUGGGGAGCGAACAGG